GUUCCAGACUCCUACGGGAGGCAGCAGUAGGGAAUAUUGCUCAAUGGGGGAAACCCUGAAGCAGCAACGCCGCGUGAAGGAAGAAGGCUUUCGGGUUGUAAACUUCUUUUGACAGGGAAGAGCAGAAGACGGUACCUGUCGAAUAAGCCACGGCUAACUACGUGCCAGCAGCCGCGGUAAUACGUAGGGGGCAAGCGUUAUCCGGAUUUACUGGGUGUAAAGGGAGCGUAGACGGAAAGGCAAGUCAGAAGUGAAAACCCAAGGCUCAACCAUGGGACUGCUUUUGAAACUGUCAAACUAGAGUACGGGAGAGGUAAGAGGAAUUCCUAGUGUAGCGGUGAAAUGCGUAGAUAUUAGGAGGAACACCAGUGGCGAAGGCGUCUUACUGGACCGAAACUGACGUUGAGGCUCGAAAGCGUGGGGAGCAAACAGGAUUAGAUACCCCGGUAC
Molecule: ribosomal RNA, 450 nt
Filed under: uncultured bacterium
Lineage: Bacteria
Description: bacterial SSU rRNA
Rfam family: Bacterial small subunit ribosomal RNA
Source: RNAcentral